Molecule: ribosomal RNA, 492 nt
Filed under: uncultured bacterium
Lineage: Bacteria
Description: partial 16S ribosomal RNA
Rfam family: Bacterial small subunit ribosomal RNA
Source: RNAcentral
AGUGAACGCUGGCGGUAGGCCUAACACAUGCAAGUCGAACGGCAGCGCAGUAAGAGCUUGCUCUUACGGGUGGCGAGUGGCGGACGGGUGAGGAGUACAUCGGAAUCUACUUUUUCGUGGGGGAUAACGUAGGGAAACUUACGCUAAUACCGCAUACGAUCUACGGGUGAAAGCAGGGGAUCUUCGGACCUUGCGCGUUUGAUUGAGCCGAUGUCGGAUUAGCUAGUUGGCGGGGUAAAGGCCCACCAAGGCGACGAUCCGUAGCUGGUCUGAGAGGAUGAUCAGCCACACUGGAACUGAGACACGGUCCAGACUCCUACGGGAGGCAGCAGUGGGGAAUAUUGGACAAUGGGCGCAAGCCUGAUCCAGCCAUGCCGCGUGGGUGAAGAAGGCCUUCGGGUUGUAAAGCCCUUUUGUUGGGAAAGAAAAGCAGCAGGUUAAUACCCCGCUGUUCUGACGGUACCCAAAGAAUAAGCACCGGCUAACUUCGUG